GUAAUACAGAGAAUUGUUUCGCAAAAAUCAAAUACAAUGUUACAUACACGAGCGAAUCGAACAAGUUAAACGAGUUUGAUGCGAGCUUUCUUCCUGUUUAUAUGCUUUAAAAUUUCCACUUUAUAUACAACAAAAUUAAGUUAGAUAGAAGUCUCAAAAAUACCAUUCGAAUUGAUGGUAUUCCAAAUGUCUUAAAAAUAAGAAAC
RNAcentral lists this long non-coding RNA (206 nucleotides) under Mytilus galloprovincialis (Mediterranean mussel). The record is from RNAcentral. Lineage: Eukaryota; Metazoa; Mollusca; Bivalvia; Mytilida; Mytilidae.